GUUCUGUAGUCUUGAAGCCGCGCGGGGUUGGUGGUACCCCGGAGCGCACCAGACUUGCAGACAAAGCAUACUCCGGAGGAAGCUGAGGCAUGCCUGCUCGAGAGGCAGCAGUUCUAUGUGCAAUGUUCCUCUGAUAGUUUCUGGGUACUGUUGCCACGGUGGUAAUGGCUGUGCCGUGUCAUUAUCGAUCCACCAACAGUUAGAGAAGCUUUGCAGUCAAGAUAUUGUUUAGCAGACAUAGUGCGUUCUGUUGGACACUAAGUACUGCUACAAAG
Molecule: non-coding RNA, 275 nt
Organism: Chinchilla lanigera (long-tailed chinchilla)
Lineage: Eukaryota; Metazoa; Chordata; Mammalia; Rodentia; Chinchillidae
Source: Ensembl